AAAAGUGCCCUGGAGACUUAAGUCUUCCAUUUAUCCACAGAACAGGCAAAGGAUGGACAACAGAAGAAAACACUGACCCACACCAGCCUGCCAUUCUGCUCAGCCCUGACCCUGGGAGAGACCACUUCAAAGAUCAAGAGAGCAGUUGAGUCUCCAUGGUCAUUGUUUCUUUGGCCUCU
Chelonoidis abingdonii (Abingdon island giant tortoise) is the source of this 179-nucleotide unclassified non-coding RNA. The record is from Ensembl. NCBI's taxonomy places the organism in Eukaryota, Metazoa, Chordata, Testudines, Testudinidae.